UCUCAUUGUAUUGUAAAAUGA
Non-coding RNA from Caenorhabditis elegans, 21 nucleotides. NCBI's taxonomy places the organism in Eukaryota, Metazoa, Nematoda, Chromadorea, Rhabditida, Rhabditidae. The record is from Ensembl.